UACGAAGGGGGCUAGCGUUGUUCGGAAUUACUGGGCGUAAAGCGCGUGUAGGCGGACUCUUAAGUCAGGGGUGAAAUCCCGGGGCUCAACCCCGGAACUGCCUUCGAAACUGCCUGGCUCGAGUCCGGGAGAGGGUGGUGGAAUUCCCAGUGUAGAGGUGAAAUUCGUAGAUAUUGGGAGGAACACCAGUGGCGAAGGCGGCCACCUGGACGGUGACUGACGCUGAGACGCGAAAGCGUGGGGAGCAAACAGG
RNAcentral lists this ribosomal RNA (253 nucleotides) under uncultured bacterium. RNAcentral's name for it is "partial 16S ribosomal RNA". It matches the Rfam family "Bacterial small subunit ribosomal RNA", at positions 524 to 776 of the family's 1533-position model. The record is from RNAcentral.